This 101-nucleotide small nuclear RNA is filed under the name Echinops telfairi (small Madagascar hedgehog). Lineage: Eukaryota; Metazoa; Chordata; Mammalia; Afrosoricida; Tenrecidae. The record is from RNAcentral.
GUGUUUGCUUCGGCAGCACAUAUACUAAAACUUGAACGAUAGAGAAGAUUAGCAUGGCUCCUGCGCAAGACUCGCAAAUUCGAGAAGCAUUCCAUAUUUUU